CCCGGCACGGCGCUGGGCAGCUCCGGCGCGGGGCGGGGCUCGUGCGGGUUCCCAGUCCGCUCGGUCGCCCUGCGUUGUCCGCCGCCGUCGUGGUGGCCGGGAUUAGUGCCCGCGGGCCAGAUGGCGGCUCCCUGGGUGGUUGUGCGGGGGAGUUUUGGGGGGCGGUGCCGGAGAGAAUUCCGACUCGACUCCGGCCGAGUUGCGGCAGGUCGCUCAAGCGCGGGGAGUCGGUAGCGUGUGUGCGGGCCUGCGUUUGCUUGCAAGCUCGCGUGAAGCCCCCUAUGCUCGCAGAAGAAAUGACUUGAUUUCCCACUACCCUUACAAGGGUGUAUUCGAAGUGCAUCGGCUGAAGGGAGCAAGAAUACAAUGCAAUAUAAAAGGCAGACAGCAUAUUAAAAUCUCGCAAAUUAUUGCGUUGUCACAGCUUUAUUUUGCUGUGGCUGUUUGAUGGAAUAAAACAAAGAAAACCUUAAA
Molecule: long non-coding RNA, 474 nt
Organism: Chelonia mydas (Green sea turtle)
Lineage: Eukaryota; Metazoa; Chordata; Testudines; Cheloniidae
Exons: 2
Source: RefSeq, a predicted model, not a curated record